Molecule: small nuclear RNA, 106 nt
Organism: Microtus oregoni (creeping vole)
Lineage: Eukaryota; Metazoa; Chordata; Mammalia; Rodentia; Cricetidae
Source: RefSeq, a predicted model, not a curated record
GUGCUCGCUUUGGAACACGUCUACUAAAACUGGAACGACACGGAGAAGAUUAGCGUGGCCCCUGCACAAAGAUGACACGCAAAUUCGUGAAGCGUUCCACAUUAUA